UGGCCAGACUCCUACGGGAGGCAGCAGUGGGGAAUAUUGCACAAUGGGGGAAACCCUGAUGCAGCAACGCCGCGUGAAGGAAGACGGUUUUCGGAUUGUAAACUUCUGUUCUUAGUGAAGAAGAAUGACGGUAGCUAAGGAGCAAGCCACGGCUAACUACGUGCCAGCAGCCGCGGUAAUACGUAGGUGGCAAGCGUUGUCCGGAAUUACUGGGUGUAAAGGGAGCGUAGACGGCAAUGCAAGUCCGGAGUGGAAUGCGGCAGCUCAACUGCCGAACUGCUCUGGAAACUGUAUGGCUUGAGUGCAGGAGGGGUAAGCGGAAUUCCUAGUGUAGCGGUGAAAUGCGUAGAUAUUAGGAGGAACACCAGUGGCGAAGGCGGCUUACUGGACGGCAACUGACGCUGAGACUCGAAAGCGUGGGGAGCAAACAGGAUUAGAUACCCUCGUA
RNAcentral lists this ribosomal RNA (448 nucleotides) under uncultured bacterium. Its description in RNAcentral is "partial 16S ribosomal RNA". It matches the Rfam family "Bacterial small subunit ribosomal RNA", at positions 328 to 792 of the family's 1533-position model. The record is from RNAcentral.